UAGGGAAUCUUCGGCAAUGGACGAAAGUCUGACCGAGCAACGCCGCGUGAGUGAAGAAGGUUUUCGGAUCGUAAAACUCUGUUGUGAGAGAAGAACAAGGACGUUAGUAACUGAACGUCCCCUGACGGUAUCUAACCAGAAAGCCACGGCUAACUACGUGCCAGCAGCCGCGGUAAUACGUAGGUGGCAAGCGUUGUCCGGCUUUAUUGGGCGUAAAGCGAGCGCAGGCGGUUUCUUAAGUCUGAUGUGAAAGCCCCCGGCUCAACCGGGGAGGGUCAUUGGAAACUGGGAGACUUAAGUGCAGAAGAGGAGAGUGGAAUUCCAAGUGUAGCGGUGAAAUGCGUAGAUAUAUGGAGGAACACCAGUGGCGAAGGCGGCUCUCUGGUCUGUAACUGACGCUGAGGCUCGAAAGCGUGGGGAGCAAACAGG
RNAcentral lists this ribosomal RNA (429 nucleotides) under Gemmatimonadota bacterium. RNAcentral describes it as "Gemmatimonadetes bacterium partial 16S ribosomal RNA". It matches the Rfam family "Bacterial small subunit ribosomal RNA", at positions 355 to 776 of the family's 1533-position model. The record is from RNAcentral. Lineage: Bacteria; Pseudomonadati; Gemmatimonadota.